AGGCAGAAGCCCGUUGGUUGAGGCAUAUAGCUGUUAACUAUAGGAUCAUGGGAUCAAAGCCCAUCUGUCUA
Molecule: transfer RNA, 71 nt
Filed under: Xenoligea montana
Lineage: Eukaryota; Metazoa; Chordata; Aves; Passeriformes; Parulidae
Description: tRNA-Asn
Source: RNAcentral